Molecule: ribosomal RNA, 489 nt
Filed under: uncultured bacterium
Lineage: Bacteria
Description: partial 16S ribosomal RNA
Rfam family: Bacterial small subunit ribosomal RNA
Source: RNAcentral
GAUGAACGCUGGCGGCGUGCCUAACACAUGCAAGUCGAACGGUGACACGAGUAGUUGCCCCCGUUGAUGAGUGCGGAACGCGUGCGUGACACGUGAGUAACCUGCCCAUCUCUCUCGGAUAAGCACUCGAAACGGUGCCUAAUACUGGAUACGACCAACCCUUGCGUGGGGUGCUGGUGGAAAGAUUUAUCUGUGAGGGAUGGACUCGCGCCGUAUUAGCUUGUUGGCGGGGUAAUGGCGUACCAAGGCGACGACGCGUCGCCGAACUGAGAGGCUGAUGGGCCACACUGGAACUGAGACACGGUCCAGACUCCUACGAGAGGCAGCAGUAGGGAAUGUUCGGCAAAGGGCGGAAGCCUGACGCAGCGAGCCCGCGUGGGUGACGAAGGCCUUCGGUUAGUAAAGCCCGUUUUUUGGGAAAGAACAUCUGUCAGAAAAAAAGAAGCGGUCGUGACGGUACCUAAAGAAAAAGCACCGGCUAACUACGUG